GAUGAACGCUGGCGGCGUGGCUUAACACAUGCAAGUCGAACGAGAAUCAACGGAUUGGAGGAUUCGUACCAAAUGAAGUUGAGGAAAGUGGCGGACGGGUGAGUAACGCGUGAGGAACCUGCCUCGGAGUGGGGAAUAACAGUUGGAAACAGCUGCUAAUACCGCAUGAUGCAACGGAAUCGCAUGACUCUGUUGCCAAAGAUUUAUCGCCCAGGGAUGAGCCCGCGUAAGAUUAGGUAGUUGGUGAGGUAAAGGCUCACCAAGCCGACGAUCUUUAGCUGGUCUGAGAGGAUGAUCAGCCACACUGGGACUGAGACACGGCCCAG
Molecule: ribosomal RNA, 326 nt
Filed under: uncultured bacterium
Lineage: Bacteria
Description: bacterial SSU rRNA
Rfam family: Bacterial small subunit ribosomal RNA
Source: RNAcentral